UCUUUGCGUUAGGGAUUGCAGUGUAAAUCCUUUUGCUUUGUUGGCAAAAGAUUGCAACGAAAAGCGCGACCUGUA
Molecule: small RNA, 75 nt
Filed under: Bizionia paragorgiae
Lineage: Bacteria; Pseudomonadati; Bacteroidota; Flavobacteriia; Flavobacteriales; Flavobacteriaceae
Description: Flavo-1 RNA
Rfam family: Flavo-1 RNA
Source: Rfam by way of RNAcentral